RNAcentral lists this ribosomal RNA (546 nucleotides) under Escherichia coli. RNAcentral's name for it is "partial 23S ribosomal RNA". It matches the Rfam family "Bacterial large subunit ribosomal RNA", at positions 656 to 1200 of the family's 2925-position model. Lineage: Bacteria; Pseudomonadati; Pseudomonadota; Gammaproteobacteria; Enterobacterales; Enterobacteriaceae. The record is from RNAcentral.
UAUAGGGGAGCCGUAGAGAAAUCGAGUCUUAAUAGGGCGUUUAGUUGCUGGGUAUAGACCCGAAACCAGGCGAUCUAUCCAUGAGCAGGUUGAAGGUUGGGUAACACUAACUGGAGGACCGAACCCACUGUCGUUGAAAAGCCAGGGGAUGACUUGUGGAUAGGGGUGAAAGGCUAAUCAAGCCUGGUGAUAGCUGGUUCUCCCCGAAAGCUAUUUAGGUAGCGCCUCGGACGAAUACCAUAGGGGGUAGAGCACUGUUUCGGCUAGGGGGUCAUCCCGACUUACCAAACCGAUGCAAACUCCGAAUACCUAUGAGUACUAUCCGGGAGACAGACUGCGGGUGCUAACGUCCGUAGUCAAGAGGAAAACAAUCCAGACCGCCAGCUAAGGCCCCAAAAUCAUAGUUAAGUGGGAAACGAUGUGGGAAGGCAUAGACAGCUAGGAGGUUGGCUUAGAAGCAGCCACCCUUUAAAGAAAGCGUAAUAGCUCACUAGUCGAGUCGGCCUGCGCGGAAGAUGUAACGGGGCUAAAACUAUGUGCCGAAGC